UAAUCGAAGGAAAGUUAUAUCUCUGAAUAAUAAUAAGUAAAAAAUUUAAAAUAAAAAUUUCAGAGACGUCAUCAUGUGGCAAUAAUCUAAUUUCUAUAAUAAAUUAUUGAACAAAAGUUAUAUUUUUGAAUAAUAACCGAGUAAAGUUUAAAAUAAAAAUUCCAGAGACCUCGUCACAAUCGUAUUUACAUCUUGGAAGCGUGCCAAAUCUCGCGUGGCAAUAAUCUAAUUUCUAUAAUAAUAGAAGGAAAGUUAUAUCUCUAAAUAAUAAUAAAAUUUCAGGAGCGUUAAAGACCCGACUUAGAGACCUCGUCACAAUGGUAUUUACAUUUUGGAAGCUUAGCCUCCGAGGAAGCGUGUCGAAUCUCGCGUGGCAAAAUAUUUUCGGUGGCGUUGCAUGGAGACACCACAGGUGGGUCGACCGUAGGGAAUCGCGGCUCGCAAUAUUUAGACUCGUACUACUUAAGCAUGUAUAAAGGGGAACCGUGUUGCGAGACGACCGAUUAUUCACGGCCCUUUUCUUCCUCGUCGCUUUUCCUGAUCCCGGAAGAGGAGACCCUUUUUUUCGAGUUCGUUGCACCGACAAUACGGAAGUCUCGGUGCGUUUCGCAAGGCAUUGCAUUUUCCACGGCCUCCUGUCUUUCAAUUGGAAAAAGCAUUUAAAAUGAAACUCGUCGAGUUGGAUGAGUUGAUUCGCCUUUAUCGCCUCCAUCUUGGGACCGCUUCGUCGACUUCGAUCACUUCAAUCGUCUCCUUAUGUUAUUGCGUUCCAAUUGACAACUUGGAAGGCUUCUCCUUUAUUCUUCAUAUAAACACCUACCUACUUUAAACUGUAUACACGAAGACUUCCAUUCAUCGAGCUGAGAGAAUGGUGAACUCGUGAGUCGUUUCGUCGAACGAGGGGAAGAACUAGAGGAAGAAUUGUGCGAACAACUCGAAAACUUCGUAACACGUGGUGCGCGUAAACGAUACAGGCACGAAAAUUUUUAAGGAGGAAUACUGAAUGUAAAUAUUUGAAACGUAACGCGUGUCGUGUUUUCGACGCGCGACCAUCGUAAAUUUUCCAAAGUUUUUCGAUAACAAGUAAAUAUCUCCCCGGCUGCGACACACGUGUUCCUUCGAGAUCCUGGGCACGUUCCUUGUUGUCGGUCCUCAGCUUCGUGCCGUCCACGUGUCAUCGCUGUCGGCUGUUCCUUUGUGCCCGAAUGUCUAUGCUCGGAACAAUGUAUGCAAUUUAUCAUCUUAUGAAUGGAAGGCACAAAUGGCAGGUAUCGAAUGAAUAUUUCAGCCGGGGAUUUAAUCUUUAAGCGAGACAAUAGGAAAGAAGCGGUAAAAGGGAUAAUAAA
Molecule: long non-coding RNA, 1346 nt
Organism: Apis laboriosa (Himalayan honeybee)
Lineage: Eukaryota; Metazoa; Arthropoda; Insecta; Hymenoptera; Apidae
Exons: 3
Source: RefSeq, a predicted model, not a curated record